RNAcentral lists this transfer RNA (73 nucleotides) under Felis catus (domestic cat). It matches the Rfam family "tRNA". Rfam says of the family: Transfer RNA (tRNA) molecules are approximately 80 nucleotides in length. Their secondary structure includes four short double-helical elements and three loops (D, anti-codon, and T loops). Further hydrogen bonds mediate the characteristic L-shaped molecular structure. tRNAs have two regions of fundamental functional importance: the anti-codon, which is responsible for specific mRNA codon recognition, and the 3' end, to which the tRNAs corresponding amino acid is attached (by aminoacyl-tRNA synthetases). tRNAs cope with the degeneracy of the genetic code in two manners: having more than one tRNA (with a specific anti-codon) for a particular amino acid; and 'wobble' base-pairing, i.e. permitting non-standard base-pairing at the 3rd anti-codon position. Lineage: Eukaryota; Metazoa; Chordata; Mammalia; Carnivora; Felidae. The record is from Rfam by way of RNAcentral.
ACUUGGCUGGCUCAGUCAGUAGAGCGUGCGACUCUUGAUCUCAGGGUCGUGAGUUCAAGUCCCAUGUUGGGUG